AAGUGUUUCCCUUGAGAGA
This 19-nucleotide small nuclear RNA is filed under the name Arabidopsis thaliana (thale cress). RNAcentral describes it as "snRNA_01681". Lineage: Eukaryota; Viridiplantae; Streptophyta; Magnoliopsida; Brassicales; Brassicaceae. The record is from RNAcentral.